This is a non-coding RNA of Oryza meridionalis, 205 nucleotides long. The record is from Rfam. Lineage: Eukaryota; Viridiplantae; Streptophyta; Magnoliopsida; Poales; Poaceae.
UUUAAGUGCAACCAUAAGUUUCCGUGCCCAACUUUGAUCGUCCGUCUUAUUUGAAUUUUUUUUAUAAUUAGUAUUUUUGUUGUUAUGAGAUGACAAAACAUGAAUAUCACUUUACUCGCAACUUAUGCUUUUAAAUUUUUCUUAAUUUUUUUUAAAUAAGACGGAUAAUUAAAGUUGUGCGUGAAAAAUCAUGACUGCACUUAAA